This 557-nucleotide small RNA is filed under the name Pan troglodytes (chimpanzee). RNAcentral describes it as "retained intron". Lineage: Eukaryota; Metazoa; Chordata; Mammalia; Primates; Hominidae. The record is from RNAcentral.
AAGGAUCACCAGCUUCUACCUAUAAGACUUCAACUCAAGAUGCAGUAUGGAGGGGCUCCCGGAGGGCCUGCGUUUCCCGGACAAACUCAGGAUCCGCUGUAUGGUUACUUUGCUGCUGUAGCUGGACAGGAUGGGCAGAUAGAUGCUGAUGAAUUGCAGAGAUGUCUGACACAGUCUGGCAUUGCUGGAGGAUACAAACCUUUUAACCUGGAGACUUGCCGGCUUAUGGUUUCAAUGCUGGAUGUAUCCUUUACCUUGAUUGUUGUCUAGAAUAAUUUUUUCUAAAAUUCUAAAGGAAUUCAUCUUAGAAUUAAUAUCUAGUAAACACAAAGUAAUAAAUGAUCACUAAAAAGCUUUCUGAAAUAAUUAGCUUCUAUUAUAGGGUGGAAUUUGGUGUGAAUAAAGGAAGAAAAGAAGUUUAGUAAACAGAAUGUUGUUCAGGAAUUUAAGGAAACAUCAGAGUAUUAUAGAACAAGUACAGAGUCCAGAGUGUCAGGACAGCUUUUUUUCUUUAACAUUGAUUCCUCUGCAAGUGAUGGCAUUUUUCACAUCCCAGU